RNAcentral lists this transfer-messenger RNA (357 nucleotides) under Gammaproteobacteria (g-proteobacteria). Its description in RNAcentral is "WTFY01 sp009839635 Standard tmRNA". It matches the Rfam family "transfer-messenger RNA". Rfam says of the family: Bacterial tmRNA, also known as 10Sa RNA or SsrA, is named for its dual tRNA and mRNA-like properties. Lineage: Bacteria; Pseudomonadati; Pseudomonadota. RNAcentral also lists the same sequence under 1 other name. The record is from RNAcentral.
GGGGGCGACCUGGUUUCGACGUGGGUUGCGAAACCCGAGGUGCAUGCCGAGGAUGUAGCUGGCCUCGUAAAAUACGCUGCAAACCUAUAGUUGCAAACGAUGACAACUACGCAUUAGCUGCCUAAACACCAGUGUAAUGCCAUCCGACCUGUCCAGCUUGCGGGGCAGGACCCGGGUGUAACCUAAGCAAGCUCGUGGUGAAGCCUGCCUGAAGCGGAUCCAUCAAACUUUUUUCAGGCUCGCGUUUACUCUCCCCGUUCGCCGGGCAGUAAGUGCUAAAUCAAAGGCGAUACUAAGCAUGUAGUACCAACGGCGGAGAAUUUGCGGACGCGGGUUCGAUUCCCGCCGCCUCCACCA